GAUGAACGCUGGCGGCGUGCUUAACACAUGCAAGUCGAACGAUGAAGCCCAGCUUGCUGGGUGGAUUAGUGGCGAACGGGUGAGUAACACGUGAGUAACCUGCCCUUGACUCUGGGAUAAGCCUGGGAAACUGGGUCUAAUACUGGAUAUGACUUCUCAUCGCAUGGUGGGGGGUGGAAAGAUUUAUUGGUCUUGGAUGGACUCGCGGCCUAUCAGCUUGUUGGUGAGGUAAUGGCUCACCAAGGCGACGACGGGUAGCCGGCCUGAGAGGGUGACCGGCCACACUGGGACUGAGACACGGCCCAGACUCCUACGGGAGGCAGCAGUGGGGAAUAUUGCACAAUGGGCGCAAGCCUGAUGCAGCGACGCCGCGUGAGGGAUGACGACCUUCGGGUUGUAAACCUCUUUCAGUAGGGAAGAAGCGAGAGUGACGGUACCUGCAGAAGAAGCGCCGGCUAACUACGUG
RNAcentral lists this ribosomal RNA (466 nucleotides) under uncultured bacterium. RNAcentral's name for it is "partial 16S ribosomal RNA". It matches the Rfam family "Bacterial small subunit ribosomal RNA", at positions 28 to 507 of the family's 1533-position model. The record is from RNAcentral.